GCUUUUGAGGCUGCAGUCUAAUAACAAUUUGUUCUCGUUCUCCUGCGCACUUGCUUUUUAGUUUGUGGCUCGGAUACGCGGCGGCGAGCACCGACGGACAUCGCCAUGACUCUCCAGCAGCAAAGAGCGUUUCUGUGCCUCUUUCUCUUUCUUCACGCCCGGAACGUGUGGGCCAGAGUGGAGGUGACUAUGAAAGACAAUGUCGAGGUGUACCUGGGCGACUCGGCUGAGAUCGUGUGCCACUAUAACUUCACUGAAGCCAACAGCGUCCCCAGAUUUGUCAUGUUCCAGUGGUUUGUGAAAGACACAGGCAGCAGUUCACGAAUUCGUAUCUACUACGCCGUUGACGACAACAAGAUCGUGGACGAGGGCACGGAGUACAGCGGUCGCAUCCAGGUGACUUUAGAUCAGCACAAAACUCAGCUCACCAUCCAGGAGGUGCAGCUGUCCGACGAGCGGGAGUUCAUCUGCCAGGUGAACGGUCUGUCGGCCGGCACCAUGGAGCGCAAGACUCACCUCAGGGUGUUCGCUCCCCCGGGGUCUCCAGUAAUCAGGGGUGUCCAAACGGGAAUAUCCGUCACCAAUGAGAUGCCCUCUAAGGUGGCAACAUGUGAGGCCCGGAAUGGUUAUCCCAAAUCCAACAUCACCUGGUACAGGAACAACAUGCCUCUGGUGUCUUCAGCAGGACUUGUGAAUGUGUGGACCGGCGACACGGUGGAGUCGAGCGGCUUGUACUCGGUGCAGAGCACGUUGGAGUACCAGGUGGUCAAGGAGGACAAGGACGCUAACUUCUCCUGCGAGGUCAGCUUCUUCGUGCCCGGCGACAUCAUGAUCCUCGAGUCCAGCAGCGUCGGCAUCACCGUUCACUACCCACCCACCAUGGUAGAGCUGUGGAGGGAGUCGCCUCAGGGAUUGGUCAAAGAGGGGGAUACUGUGGAGCUACGUUGCCACGGCGAUGGCAACCCCAUGCCGACCUUCAUCUUCACCAGGAAGGAAGACCCUGACGUGGAGUUCGACAGCCGUGGAAACGUGUUGAUGCUGCAGGCGGUGUCGCGCAGAGACAGCGACGAUUACCUGUGUCGACCCCGGGACACCACUGCACUCAAAGAGGUCAAAGGAGAGAUGCGACUCAAAGUGCACUACCUGGACCCUGCUGUGCUGGUACCCAAAGAAUCUGAGGUCAUGUUAAAAGGGGAAGAUUUGACUGCGUCGUGUAAUGCUUUGUCCUCCGAGAAAACAUCCGUCGUCUGGUACAAGGAUGGCAAGAUGGUGGGUCGAGGAAACAUGCUCCACCUGCAGGACGCCACCUACGAAACGGCGGGAGAGUACGUUUGCGAGGUGACCGUUCCCUCCGUGCCCACCCUGCACACCAGCGGCUCAGUCCACAUCGUCGUCCACGGUGGUCCUCAGCUGGUGGGCGAGGAGCAGGAGGUCCAUCUGGAGGAGGCAGUGGGCAGGAUGGUCAACCUGAGCUGCGAGGCACGUGGCCACCCCGCGCCCAGCAUCACAUGGAUCUUCGUCGAUAGCCAGAGCUGGUUCGAGGUGUUCAGCAAGUCCAGCGACCACAUGACCCACAGCGUGGUGUCCGUCGCCGUCAAAUCGGACAUCAGCGCCAUGUGCAACACCUCCAACGACCUUGGCAUUGACGUCAGAGCUUUCAGCAUCAAAGCCAUUCCCCUGGUCACCACCAGCGCGCCCUUCUCUCCCGUUGCGUAUGGAUUUCUUGUGUGUGUGUGUGUGUGUGUGUGUAACAGAGGGCAGCGGCGUGAUCAUCGUGGUGAUCAUCCUGUGCCUGCUGCUGCUGGCCAUCUUGGGCAGCGUGCUCUACUUCCUGCACAAGAAGGGCAAGAUCCCGUGCGGACGCUCGGGGAAGCAGGACAUCUCCAAAGAGAAGACCGUCAAAGACGACAUCGUGGUGGAGAUGAAGAACAACGCCAACGCCAAGAGUGAGGACACGGUGCUCCUCAAGGCCGUCAACGGAGACAAAAACGGCACAAACGAUCAGUAAAAGUGUGACGGCAUCGGCAGUGGAGCUGCUGAUCUGAUACCAGCAGGGACUCCAAUCAGACGUUAUACACUACCAGUAUUUCCGUACACACACACACACACACGCACACACACACACACACACACACACACACACACACACAAACUUGUCUUUUGAGUGAAUGUCUCGUAAAAGUUCAUCCGUCGUUCUGUUUUCUGUUUGUUACUAUCAUCGCUAGGCCAUCAAAGUGUACAUAUUAUAUAUAUAUUUUGUUAUUUAAGAUAUUUUCACACACACACACACGCUUACACAAACAAAACAACCGUUACAAACUGCUGUCAAGUCCCUUUCACCUUUUCCCCAUAUUGUUUGAAAAUAUGCCAGCGGACUGUUGCCGGGCAGAUUUCAAAGAGGUUAGCGAUCUGCUUUGCCCGUUUUUGUUUUUGAGAUUACUGCUGAAUAUGCAGCAUUUGUUUGUAUGUAUUUUAUUUGUGUUGUGUUGGACCAGUUUUGCUGUAAACAUUUAAUAUUUUUCACAAGCGUGCUCACAUUCAUACAUACAUACGCGUGAGUGGAAAUAAUUACGGUACUUUUGAAGAGAAGAUUUCAGUUUGAUGCAGGCACACUGGCGCCCCCGCCGGGUCCAUUUUGUGAAUAUUGUGGGUUUUUUUUUGUGUGUGAGCAUUUUUUUUUUUUUUUACAUCUUUCCACUGAAGGGCGAUAAUGUCGUGCUCUGCUGUGUUCCAAAAAAACUGCACACCAGGGAAUACAUUGUUUAUAUUUUGUUUGUUUUCCCCUCCCCCAAAACGUUUGUAAAUUAAGUACUGUACAUGUGAUCCUUUGAUGCCUGUGCUUUUUUUUGGUAAUGUUUUUGCAAGAAAAUGAGAAAUAAAAAGGUUUUUCAACAAA
Molecule: RNA transcript, 2896 nt
Organism: Phycodurus eques (leafy seadragon)
Lineage: Eukaryota; Metazoa; Chordata; Actinopteri; Syngnathiformes; Syngnathidae
Gene: mcama
Gene name: melanoma cell adhesion molecule a
Exons: 16
Source: RefSeq, a predicted model, not a curated record